AAUCAACGCUGGCGGCGUGCCUAACACAUGCAAGUCGAACGCGAAAGCCCCGCAAGGGGUUAGUAGAGUGGCAAACGGGUGAGUAACACGUGGGUGACCUGCCUUCGAGUGGGGGAUAACGUCCCGAAAGGGACGCUAAUACCGCAUAAUAUCCUGCCUUUUAAGAGGUGGACAUCAAAGCUGGGGAUCGCAAGACCUAGCGCUUGAAGAGGGGCCCGCGCCUGAUUAGCUAGUUGGUGGGGAAUGGCUCACCAAGGCAACGAUCAGUAUCCGGCCUGAGAGGGCGGACGGACACACUGGGACUGAGACACGGCCCAGACUCCUACGGGAGGCAGCAGUGGGGAAUUGUUCGCAAUGGGCGCAAGCCUGACGACGCAACGCCGCGUGGAGGACGAAGACC
RNAcentral lists this ribosomal RNA (400 nucleotides) under uncultured bacterium. RNAcentral describes it as "bacterial SSU rRNA". It matches the Rfam family "Bacterial small subunit ribosomal RNA", at positions 32 to 416 of the family's 1533-position model. The record is from RNAcentral.